Molecule: small nuclear RNA, 71 nt
Filed under: Neogale vison (American mink)
Lineage: Eukaryota; Metazoa; Chordata; Mammalia; Carnivora; Mustelidae
Description: Neovison vison (American mink) U5 spliceosomal RNA (ENSNVIG00000004936.1)
Rfam family: U5 spliceosomal RNA
About the family: U5 RNA is a component of both types of known spliceosome.
Source: RNAcentral
CUGGUUUCUCUUCAGAUCGUAUAAAUCUUUCGCCUUUUACUAAAGAUUUCCGUGAAGAAUAAUUUUGGAAG